AUUGAACGCUGGCGGCAGGCUUAACACAUGCAAGUCGAGCGGGGGAAGGUAGCUUGCUACCGGACCUAGCGGCGGACGGGUGAGUAAUGCUUAGGAAUCUGCCUAUUAGUGGGGUACAACAUCUCGAAAGGGAUGCUAAUACCGCAUACGUCCUACGGGAGAAAGCAGGGGAUCUUCGGACCUUGCGCUAAUAGAUGAGCCUAAGUCGGAUUAGCUAGUUGGUGGGGUAAAGGCCUACCAAGGCGACGAUCUGUAGCGGGUCUGAGAGGAUGAUCCGCCACACUGGGACUGAGACACGGCCAGACUCCUACGUGAGGCAGCAGUGGGGAAUAUUGGGCAAUGGGGGGAACCCUGAUCUAGCCAUGCCGCGUGUGUGAAGAAGGCCUUAUGGUUGUAAAGCACUUUAAGCGAGGAGGAGGCUCUUUUGGUUAAUACCCAAGAUGAGUGGACGUUACUCACAGAAUAAGCACCGGCUAACUCUGUGCCAGCCGCCGCCGUAA
RNAcentral lists this ribosomal RNA (500 nucleotides) under uncultured bacterium. RNAcentral's name for it is "partial 16S ribosomal RNA". It matches the Rfam family "Bacterial small subunit ribosomal RNA", at positions 30 to 523 of the family's 1533-position model. The record is from RNAcentral.